AACUUUCAGCAACGGAUCUCUUGGCUCUCGCAUCGAUGAAGAACGCAGCGAAAUGCGAUAAGUAAUGUGAAUUGCAGAAUUCAGUGAAUCAUCGAAUCUUUGAACGCACCUUGCGCCCUUUGGACCAUUCUGAAGGGCAUGCCUGUUUGAGUAUCA
RNAcentral lists this ribosomal RNA (156 nucleotides) under uncultured Tomentella. RNAcentral describes it as "5.8S ribosomal RNA". It matches the Rfam family "5.8S ribosomal RNA". From Rfam's summary of the family: 5.8S ribosomal RNA (5.8S rRNA) is a component of the large subunit of the eukaryotic ribosome. It is transcribed by RNA polymerase I as part of the 45S precursor that also contains 18S and 28S rRNA. Functionally, it is thought that 5.8S rRNA may be involved in ribosome translocation. The record is from RNAcentral. Lineage: Eukaryota; Fungi; Basidiomycota; Agaricomycetes; Thelephorales; Thelephoraceae.